Molecule: ribosomal RNA, 469 nt
Filed under: uncultured bacterium
Lineage: Bacteria
Description: partial 16S ribosomal RNA
Rfam family: Bacterial small subunit ribosomal RNA
Source: RNAcentral
UGGGGAAUAUUGGACAAUGGGGGCAACCCUGAUCCAUCAAUGCCGCGUGUGUGAAGAAGGUCUUCGGAUUGUAAAGCACUUUCGACGGGGACGAUGAUGACGGUACCCGUAGAAGAAGCCCCGGCUAACUUCGUGCCAGCAGCCGCGGUAAUACGAAGGGGGCUAGCGUUGCUCGGAAUGACUGGGCGUAAAGGGCGUGUAGGCGGUUUACACAGUCAGAUGUGAAAUCCCCGGGCUUAACCUGGGAGCUGCAUUUGAUACGUGUAGACUAGAGUGUGAGAGAGGGUUGUGGAAUUCCCAGUGUAGAGGUGAAAUUCGUAGAUAUUGGGAAGAACACCGGUGGCGAAGGCGGCAACCUGGCUCAUGACUGACGCUGAGGCGCGAAAGCGUGGGGAGCAAACAGGUUAGAUACCCUGGUAGUCCACGCUGUAAACGAUGUGUGCUAGAUGUUGGGUAACUUUGUUAUUCA